This 65-nucleotide transfer RNA is filed under the name bacterium. Its description in RNAcentral is "tRNA-Pro". It matches the Rfam family "tRNA", at positions 6 to 65 of the family's 71-position model. Rfam says of the family: Transfer RNA (tRNA) molecules are approximately 80 nucleotides in length. Their secondary structure includes four short double-helical elements and three loops (D, anti-codon, and T loops). Further hydrogen bonds mediate the characteristic L-shaped molecular structure. tRNAs have two regions of fundamental functional importance: the anti-codon, which is responsible for specific mRNA codon recognition, and the 3' end, to which the tRNAs corresponding amino acid is attached (by aminoacyl-tRNA synthetases). tRNAs cope with the degeneracy of the genetic code in two manners: having more than one tRNA (with a specific anti-codon) for a particular amino acid; and 'wobble' base-pairing, i.e. permitting non-standard base-pairing at the 3rd anti-codon position. The record is from RNAcentral. RNAcentral also lists the same sequence under 1 other name.
CGUAGCGCAGUCCGGUUUAGCGCGCAUGGUUUGGGACCAUGAGGUCCUCGGUUCAAAUCCGAGCG